RNAcentral lists this non-coding RNA (219 nucleotides) under Xanthomonas albilineans. RNAcentral also lists the same sequence under 1 other name. The record is from RNAcentral. Lineage: Bacteria; Pseudomonadati; Pseudomonadota; Gammaproteobacteria; Lysobacterales; Lysobacteraceae.
CACUAUCUUGGGGUUGUCGGUUCCUGCGGCACCUCGCCACGGGAUCAAAAGGGAAGCCGGCGUGGCGUGUGAGCGCCAACGUCGGUGCUGUGCCGCAGCGGUCAUUGGGAACGAUCCUUCACUGCCUGAGGCUCCCGCCUUGGCGAGCGACGGGUUCGGAACUGCCCAGUCGCCGCGCGGCCUAUCAGCCCGAAGACCUGCCGACAGCCGCGUGAAGCA